RNAcentral lists this ribosomal RNA (2447 nucleotides) under Staphylococcus aureus M1077. RNAcentral's name for it is "bacterial LSU rRNA". It matches the Rfam family "Bacterial large subunit ribosomal RNA", at positions 3 to 2448 of the family's 2925-position model. The record is from RNAcentral. Lineage: Bacteria; Bacillati; Bacillota; Bacilli; Caryophanales; Staphylococcaceae.
UUAAGUUAUUAAGGGCGCACGGUGGAUGCCUUGGCACUAGAAGCCGAUGAAGGACGUUACUAACGACGAUAUGCUUUGGGGAGCUGUAAGUAAGCUUUGAUCCAGAGAUUUCCGAAUGGGGAAACCCAGCAUGAGUUAUGUCAUGUUAUCGAUAUGUGAAUACAUAGCAUAUCAGAAGGCACACCCGGAGAACUGAAACAUCUUAGUACCCGGAGGAAGAGAAAGAAAAUUCGAUUCCCUUAGUAGCGGCGAGCGAAACGGGAAGAGCCCAAACCAACAAGCUUGCUUGUUGGGGUUGUAGGACACUCUAUACGGAGUUACAAAGGACGACAUUAGACGAAUCAUCUGGAAAGAUGAAUCAAAGAAGGUAAUAAUCCUGUAGUCGAAAAUGUUGUCUCUCUUGAGUGGAUCCUGAGUACGACGGAGCACGUGAAAUUCCGUCGGAAUCUGGGAGGACCAUCUCCUAAGGCUAAAUACUCUCUAGUGACCGAUAGUGAACCAGUACCGUGAGGGAAAGGUGAAAAGCACCCCGGAAGGGGAGUGAAAUAGAACCUGAAACCGUGUGCUUACAAGUAGUCAGAGCCCGUUAAUGGGUGAUGGCGUGCCUUUUGUAGAAUGAACCGGCGAGUUACGAUUUGAUGCAAGGUUAAGCAGUAAAUGUGGAGCCGUAGCGAAAGCGAGUCUGAAUAGGGCGUUUAGUAUUUGGUCGUAGACCCGAAACCAGGUGAUCUACCCUUGGUCAGGUUGAAGUUCAGGUAACACUGAAUGGAGGACCGAACCGACUUACGUUGAAAAGUGAGCGGAUGAACUGAGGGUAGCGGAGAAAUUCCAAUCGAACCUGGAGAUAGCUGGUUCUCUCCGAAAUAGCUUUAGGGCUAGCCUCAAGUGAUGAUUAUUGGAGGUAGAGCACUGUUUGGACGAGGGGCCCCUCUCGGGUUACCGAAUUCAGACAAACUCCGAAUGCCAAUUAAUUUAACUUGGGAGUCAGAACAUGGGUGAUAAGGUCCGUGUUCGAAAGGGAAACAGCCCAGACCACCAGCUAAGGUCCCAAAAUAUAUGUUAAGUGGAAAAGGAUGUGGCGUUGCCCAGACAACUAGGAUGUUGGCUUAGAAGCAGCCAUCAUUUAAAGAGUGCGUAAUAGCUCACUAGUCGAGUGACACUGCGCCGAAAAUGUACCGGGGCUAAACAUAUUACCGAAGCUGUGGAUUGUCCUUUGGACAAUGGUAGGAGAGCGUUCUAAGGGCGUUGAAGCAUGAUCGUAAGGACAUGUGGAGCGCUUAGAAGUGAGAAUGCCGGUGUGAGUAGCGAAAGACGGGUGAGAAUCCCGUCCACCGAUUGACUAAGGUUUCCAGAGGAAGGCUCGUCCGCUCUGGGUUAGUCGGGUCCUAAGCUGAGGCCGACAGGCGUAGGCGAUGGAUAACAGGUUGAUAUUCCUGUACCACCUAUAAUCGUUUUAAUCGAUGGGGGGACGCAGUAGGAUAGGCGAAGCGUGCGAUUGGAUUGCACGUCUAAGCAGUAAGGCUGAGUAUUAGGCAAAUCCGGUACUCGUUAAGGCUGAGCUGUGAUGGGGAGAAGACAUUGAGUCUUCGAGUCGUUGAUUUCACACUGCCGAGAAAAGCCUCUAGAUAGAAAAUAGGUGCCCGUACCGCAAACCGACACAGGUAGUCAAGAUGAGAAUUCUAAGGUGAGCGAGCGAACUCUCGUUAAGGAACUCGGCAAAAUGACCCCGUAACUUCGGGAGAAGGGGUGCUCUUUAGGGUUAACGCCCAGAAGAGCCGCAGUGAAUAGGCCCAAGCGACUGUUUAUCAAAAACACAGGUCUCUGCUAAACCGUAAGGUGAUGUAUAGGGGCUGACGCCUGCCCGGUGCUGGAAGGUUAAGAGGAGUGGUUAGCUUCUGCGAAGCUACGAAUCGAAGCCCCAGUAAACGGCGGCCGUAACUAUAACGGUCCUAAGGUAGCGAAAUUCCUUGUCGGGUAAGUUCCGACCCGCACGAAAGGCGUAACGAUUUGGGCACUGUCUCAACGAGAGACUCGGUGAAAUCAUAGUACCUGUGAAGAUGCAGGUUACCCGCGACAGGACGGAAAGACCCCGUGGAGCUUUACUGUAGCCUGAUAUUGAAAUUCGGCACAGCUUGUACAGGAUAGGUAGGAGCCUUUGAAACGUGAGCGCUAGCUUACGUGGAGGCGCUGGUGGGAUACUACCCUAGCUGUGUUGGCUUUCUAACCCGCACCACUUAUCGUGGUGGGAGACAGUGUCAGGCGGGCAGUUUGACUGGGGCGGUCGCCUCCUAAAAGGUAACGGAGGCGCUCAAAGGUUCCCUCAGAAUGGUUGGAAAUCAUUCAUAGAGUGUAAAGGCAUAAGGGAGCUUGACUGCGAGACCUACAAGUCGAGCAGGGUCGAAAGACGGACUUAGUGAUCCGGUGGUUCCGCAUGGAAGGGCCAUCGC